GACGAACGCUGGCGGCGUGCCUAAUACAUGCAAGUAGAACGCACAGUUUAUACCGUAGCUUGCUACACCAUAAACUGUGAGUUGCGAACGGGUGAGUAACGCGUAGGUAACCUGCCUGGUAGCGGGGGAUAACUAUUGGAAACGAUAGCUAAUACCGCAUAAUAUUAAUUAUUGCAUGAUAAUUGAUUGAAAGAUGCAAUUGCAUCACUACCAGAUGGACCUGCGUUGUAUUGGCUAGUAGGUGAGGUAACGGCUCACCUAGGCGACGAUACAUAGCCGACCUGAGAGGGUGAUCGGCCACACUGGGACUGAGACACGGCCCAGACUCCUACGGGAGGCAGCAGUAGGGAAUCUUCGGCAAUGGACGAAAGUCUGACCGAGCAACGCCGCGUGAGUGAAGAAGGUUUUCGGAUCGUAAAGCUCUGUUGUAAGAGAAGAACGGGUGUGAGAGUGGAAAGUUCACACUGUGACGGUAUCUUACCAGAAAGGGACGGCUAACUACGUG
RNAcentral lists this ribosomal RNA (505 nucleotides) under uncultured bacterium. RNAcentral's name for it is "partial 16S ribosomal RNA". It matches the Rfam family "Bacterial small subunit ribosomal RNA", at positions 28 to 507 of the family's 1533-position model. The record is from RNAcentral.